UACGGAGGGGGCGAGCGUUAUUCGGAAUUAUUGGGCGUAAAAGGCGCGUAGGCGGCUUGGUAAGUCAAAGGUGAAAUCCCUCGGCUCAACUGAGGAAUUGCCUUUGAAACUGCCUGGCUCGAGGCCGGGAGGGGGUAGCGGAAUUCCCAGUGUAGCGGUGAAAUGCGUAGAUAUUGGGAGGAACACCGGUGGCGAAGGCGGCUACCUGGACCGGUUCUGACGCUGAUGCGCGAAAGCGUGGGGAGCAAACAGG
This 253-nucleotide ribosomal RNA is filed under the name uncultured bacterium. Its description in RNAcentral is "partial 16S ribosomal RNA". It matches the Rfam family "Bacterial small subunit ribosomal RNA", at positions 524 to 776 of the family's 1533-position model. The record is from RNAcentral.